Molecule: ribosomal RNA, 254 nt
Filed under: uncultured bacterium
Lineage: Bacteria
Description: partial 16S ribosomal RNA
Rfam family: Bacterial small subunit ribosomal RNA
Source: RNAcentral
UACGGGGGGAGCAAGCGUUGUUCGGAUUUACUGGGCGUAAAGAGCUCGUAGGCGGUUUGGUAAGUCGGAUGUGAAAUCUCCAGGCUCAACCUGGAGGGGUCAUUCGAUACUGCCAUGACUAGAGUUCGGUAGGGGAGUGUGGAAUUCCUGGUGGAGCGGUGAAAUGCGCAGAGAUCAGGAGGAACACCCGUAGCGAAGGCGGCACUCUGGGCCGAUACUGACGCUGAGGAGCGAAAGCGUGGGGAGCGAACAGG